RNAcentral lists this ribosomal RNA (436 nucleotides) under Grigorovia yakushimaensis. RNAcentral's name for it is "eukaryotic LSU rRNA". It matches the Rfam family "Eukaryotic large subunit ribosomal RNA", at positions 156 to 589 of the family's 3401-position model. The record is from RNAcentral. Lineage: Eukaryota; Fungi; Ascomycota; Saccharomycetes; Saccharomycetales; Saccharomycetaceae.
AAGGUAUCUUGGAAUGGUGGCUGGCCUAUGUUCCUUGGAAAAGGACGUCAUAGAGGGUGAGAACCCCGUAUGGCUGGGCGUGCUGUUCCUUGUAAGAUUCCUUCGACGAGUCGAGUUGUUUGGGAAUGCAGCUCUAAGUGGGUGGUAAAUUCCAUCUAAAGCUAAAUAUUGGCGAGAGACCGAUAGCGAACAAGUACAGUGAUGGAAAGAUGAAAAGAACUUUGAAAAGAGAGUGAAAAAGUACGUGAAAUUGUUGAAAGGGAAGGGCAUUUGAUCAGACAUGGUGUUUUGCGCCCUCUGUUCCUUGUGGAUAGGGGAAUCUCGCAGCUCACUGGGCCAACAUCANUUUUGGCGGCCGGAUAAAACCAUAGAACGUANCUUGCUUCGGUAAGUGUUAUAGCUUGGUGGGCCUACNGCNGCCGGGACUGAGNACUGC